This 513-nucleotide unclassified non-coding RNA is filed under the name uncultured Glomus. Its description in RNAcentral is "SSU rRNA". It matches the Rfam family "Eukaryotic small subunit ribosomal RNA", at positions 569 to 1078 of the family's 1831-position model. Lineage: Eukaryota; Fungi; Glomeromycota; Glomeromycetes; Glomerales; Glomeraceae. The record is from RNAcentral.
AGCAGCCGCGGUAAUUCCAGCUCCAAUAGCGUAUAUUAAAGUUGUUGCAGUUAAAAAGCUCGUAGUUGAAUUUCGGGGUUAGUAGGUUGGUCAUGCCUCUGGUAUGUACUGGUCUCACUGAUUCCUCCUUCCUGAUGAACCUUAAUGCCAUUAAUUUGGUGUUUUGGGGAAUUUGGACUGUUACUUUGAAAAAAUUAGAGUGUUUAAAGCAGGCAUUUUUGCUUGAAUACAUUAGCAUGGAAUAAUAAAAUAGGACGGCAUGGUUCUAUUUUGUUGGUUUCUAGGACCACCGUAAUGAUUAAUAGGGAUAGUUGGGGGGCAUUAGUAUUCAAUUGUCAGAGGUGAAAUUCUUGGAUUUAUUGAAGACUAACUACUGCGAAAGCAUUUGCCAAGGAUGUUUUCAUUAAUCAAGAACGAAAGUUAGGGGAUCGAAGACGAUCAGAUACCGUCGUAGUCUUAACCAUAAACUAUGCCGACUAGGAAUCAGACGAUGUUAAUUUUUUUAAUGACUCG